ACGCUGGCGGCAGGCCUACNCAUGCAAGUCGAGCGGAUGAAGGGAGCUUGCUCUCUGAUUCAGCGGCGGACGGGUGAGUAAUGCCUAGGAAUCUGCCUGGUAGUGGGGGACAACGUCUCGAAAGGGACGCUAAUACCGCAUACGUCCUACGGGAGAAAGCAGGGGACCUUCGGGCCUUGCGCUAUCAGAUGAGCCUAGGUCGGAUUAGCUAGUUGGUGAGGUAAUGGCUCACCAAGGCGACGAUCCGUAACUGGUCUGAGAGGAUGAUCAGUCACACUGGAACUGAGACACGGUCCAGACUCCUACGGGAGGCAGCAGUGGGGAAUAUUGGACAAUGGGCGAAAGCCUGAUCCAGCCAUGCCGCGUGUGUGAAGAAGGUCUUCGGAUUGUAAAGCACUUUAAGUUGGGAGGAAGGGUUGUAGAUUAAUACUCUGCAAUUUUGACGUUACCGACAGAAUAAGCACCGGCUAACUCUGUGCCAGCAGCCGCGGUAAUACAGAGGGUGCAAGCGUUAAUCGGAAUUACUGGGCGUAAAGCGCGCGUAGGUGGUUUGUUAAGUUGAAUGUGAAAGCCCCGGGCUCAACCUGGGAACUGCAUCCAAAACUGGCAAGCUAGAGUAGGGCAGAGGGUGGUGGAAUUUCCUGUGUAGCGGUGAAAUGCGUAGAUAUAGGAAGGAACACCAGUGGCGANNGCGACCACCUGGGCUCAUACUGACACUGAGGUGCGAAAGCGUGGGGAGCAAACAGGAUUAGAUACCCUGGUAGUCCACGCCGUAAACGAUGUCACUAGCCGUUGGAUCCUUGAGAUUUUAGUGGCGCAGCUAACGCAUUAAGUUGACGCUGGGG
Molecule: ribosomal RNA, 845 nt
Filed under: Pseudomonas sp. SEAB3C070426
Lineage: Bacteria; Pseudomonadati; Pseudomonadota; Gammaproteobacteria; Pseudomonadales; Pseudomonadaceae
Description: bacterial SSU rRNA
Rfam family: Bacterial small subunit ribosomal RNA
Source: RNAcentral